GAUGAACGCUAGCUACAGGCUUAACACAUGCAAGUCGAGGGACCGGCGCACGGGUGAGUAACACGUAUCCAACCUGCCCUUUACCCGGGGAUAGUCUUUCGAAAGAAAGAUUAAUACCCGAAAUAAAGGAUUGGGAUGCGUUCCAUUAGGUUGUUGGUGAGGUAACGGACCACCAAGCCGUCGAUGGAUAGGGUUCUGAGAGGAAGGUCCCCUGCAUUGGAACGGAGACACAGACCAAACUCCUACGGGAGGCAGAAGUGAGGACUAUUGGUCAAUGGGCGGUAACCUGAACCAGCCAAGUAGCGUGAAGUAUUAUGGCUUAUGGGUCGUAAACUUCUUUUAUAUAAGAAUAUGUAUUAUAUGAAUAAGGCUCGGCUAACUCCGUGCCAGCAGCCGCGGUAAUUC
RNAcentral lists this ribosomal RNA (405 nucleotides) under uncultured bacterium. Its description in RNAcentral is "partial 16S ribosomal RNA". It matches the Rfam family "Bacterial small subunit ribosomal RNA", at positions 28 to 526 of the family's 1533-position model. The record is from RNAcentral.